GGAUCAUUACCGAGUGAGGGCCCUCUGGGUCCAACCUCCCACCCGUGUUUAUUUACCUUGUUGCUUCGGCGGGCCCGCCUCACGGCCGCCGGGGGGCACCCGCCCCCGGGCCCGCGCCCGCCGAAGACACCAAUGAACUAUGUCUGAAGAUUGCAGUCUGAGCGAUUAGCUAAAUCAGUUAAAUCUUUCAACAACGAAUCUCUUGGUUCCGGCAUCGAUGAAGAACGCAGCGAAUUGCGAUACGUAAUGUGAAUUGCAGAAUUCAGUGAAUCAUCGAGUCUUUGAACGCACAUUGCGCCCCCUGGUAUUCCGGGGGGCAUGCCUGUCCGAGCGUCAUUGCUGCCCUCAAGCACGGCUUGUGUGUUGGGCCCCGCCCCCCGGUCCCGGGGGGCGGGCCCGAAAGGCAGCGGCGGCACCGCGUCCGGUCCUCGAGCGUAUGGGGCUUUGUCACCCGCUCCGUAGGCCCGGCCGGCGCCCGCCGGCGACCCCCAAUCAAUCUAUCCAGGUUGACCUCGGAUCAGGUAGGGAUACCCGCUGAACUUAAGCAUAUCAAUAAGCGGAGGAAAAGAAACCAACAGGGAUUGCCUCAGUAACGGCGAGUGAAGCGGCAAGAGCUCAAAUUUGAAAGCUGGCCCCCUCGGGGUCCGCAUUGUAAUUUGCAGAGGAUGCUUCGGGAGUGGCCCCCAUCUAAGUGCCCUGGAACGGGCCGUCAUAGAGGGUGAGAAUCCCGUCUGGGAUGGGGUGCCCACGCCCGUGUGAAGCUCCUUCGACGAGUCGAGUUGUUUGGGAAUGCAGCUCUAAAUGGGUGGUAAAUUUCAUCUAAAGCUAAAUACUGGCCGGAGACCGAUAGCGCACAAGUAGAGUGAUCGAAAGAUGAAAAACACUUUGAAAAGAGAAAUUAACAGCACGUGAAAAUGUUGAAAGGGGAGAGCUUGCGACCAGACUCGCCCACGGGGGUCAGCCGGCAUUCGUGCCGGUGUACUUCCCCGCGGGCGGGCCAGCGUCGGUUUGGGCGGCCGGUCAAAGGCCCUUGGAAUGUACCGCCCCCCGGGGCGGCUUAUAGCCAAGGGUGCCAUAGCGGCCAGCCCGGACCGAGGAACGCGCUAUCGGCUCGGUUGAAGGCAUA
RNAcentral lists this ribosomal RNA (1126 nucleotides) under Penicillium sp. AD6. RNAcentral's name for it is "eukaryotic LSU rRNA". The stretch from base 508 to 1126 matches the Rfam family "Eukaryotic large subunit ribosomal RNA", at positions 1 to 626 of the family's 3401-position model. The record is from RNAcentral. Lineage: Eukaryota; Fungi; Ascomycota; Eurotiomycetes; Eurotiales; Aspergillaceae.